RNAcentral lists this ribosomal RNA (445 nucleotides) under uncultured bacterium. RNAcentral's name for it is "partial 16S ribosomal RNA". It matches the Rfam family "Bacterial small subunit ribosomal RNA", at positions 354 to 796 of the family's 1533-position model. The record is from RNAcentral.
GUGAGGAAUAUUGGUCAAUGGGCGAGAGCCUGAACCAGCCAAGUCGCGUGAAGGAAGAAGGAUCUAUGGUUCGUAAACUUCUUUUGCAGGGGAAUAAAGUGCGGGACGUGUCCUGUUUUGUAUGUACCCUGAGAAUAAGGAUCGGCUAACUCCGUGCCAGCAGCCGCGGUAAUACGGAGGAUCCGAGCGUUAUCCGGAUUUAUUGGGUUUAAAGGGUGCGUAGGUGGUUUGAUAAGUCAGCGAUGAAAGUUUGCAGCUUAACUGUAAAAAUGCCGUUGAAACUGUCGGACUUGAGUGUAAAUGAGGUAGGCGGAAUGCGUGGUGUAGCGGUGAAAUGCAUAGAUAUCACGCAGAACUCCGAUUGCGAAGGCAGCUUACUAAGCUACAACUGACACUGAAGCACGAAAGCGUGGGGAUCAAACAGGAUUAGAAACCCGUGUAGUCC